This 303-nucleotide ribosomal RNA is filed under the name uncultured bacterium. Its description in RNAcentral is "partial 16S ribosomal RNA". It matches the Rfam family "Bacterial small subunit ribosomal RNA", at positions 507 to 808 of the family's 1533-position model. The record is from RNAcentral.
AGCAGUAGCCGCGGUAAUACGUAUGUCACGAGCGUUAUCCGGAUUUAUUGGGCGUAAAGCGCGUCUAGGUGGUUAUGUAAGUCUGAUGUGAAAAUGCAGGGCUCAACUCUGUAUUGCGUUGGAAACUGUACAACUAGAGUACUGGAGAGGUAAGCGGAACUACAAGUGUAGAGGUGAAAUUCGUAGAUAUUUGUAGGAAUGCCGAUGGGGAAGCCAGCUUACUGGACAGAUACUGACGCUGAAGCGCGAAAGCGUGGGUAGCAAACAGGAUUAGAUACCCCGGUAGUCCCUGUCUCUUAUACC